GACGAACGCUGGCGGCGUGCCUAAUACAUGCAAGUAGAACGCUGAAGGAGGAGCUUGCUUCUCUGGAUGAGUUGCGAACGGGUGAGUAACGCGUAGGUAACCUGCCUGGUAGCGGGGGAUAACUAUUGGAAACGAUAGCUAAUACCGCAUAAGAGUAGAUGUUGCAUGACAUUUGCUUAAAAGGUGCAAUUGCAUCACUACCAGAUGGACCUGCGUUGUAUUAGCUAGUUGGUGAGGUAACGGCUCACCAAGGCAACGAUACAUAGCCGACCUGAGAGGGUGAUCGGCCACACUGGGACUGAGACACGGCCCAGACUCCUACGGGAGGCAGCAGUAGGGAAUCUUCGGCAAUGGACGGAAGUCUGACCGAGCAACGCCGCGUGAGUGAAGAGGGUUUUCGGAUCGUAAAGCUCUGUUGUAAGAGAAGAACGAGUGUGAGA
Molecule: ribosomal RNA, 440 nt
Filed under: Streptococcus mitis
Lineage: Bacteria; Bacillati; Bacillota; Bacilli; Lactobacillales; Streptococcaceae
Description: bacterial SSU rRNA
Rfam family: Bacterial small subunit ribosomal RNA
Source: RNAcentral